Long non-coding RNA from Vespa velutina, 737 nucleotides. RefSeq lists it as uncharacterized. The record is from RefSeq and is a predicted model, not a curated record. NCBI's taxonomy places the organism in Eukaryota, Metazoa, Arthropoda, Insecta, Hymenoptera, Vespidae. The transcript has 3 exons.
AAUAAUAAGAAAUGUCAUCUAUAGUUUACGCGCCGAAACUUUGCACAUCAAAUAACAAUAGUAAUAUUUUUAUUUAGCUUUGUUCGAUAUACAAUAGGUAUAAUACUGUGACUUUCAACAGCUACGGCCAUGACUUCAAGAAGAGUCCAAGAAAGAAUAAAUGAUUUCUUUUGUGUUCCCGGCAUUUUUGUCGUUUACUUUGUUUUCGGCAUCUUUGUUGUGUCUCACUUUGUUUGAUUAGUUUCCCACAUGUGCGUUUGGUGGCGCCGAAGCGUGUUAGUUACAUGUAUUGCCGGAGAACGUGUUACAGCCGUAACGAUAUCGUCGUAAUUGCUAUUAUUGCGCCAAAGCAAAUUGGCGACAGGUAUGGUCAAAAUAUGAACUAGGAAACAAGCAACGGUAUCUGUCGCCACCGUGCAUCUAUCGUAUCGGGUUAGUUAUUCCCCUCUCACGCAUACAUAAUUGGUUUCGUUGGAUUAUAUUGCACCGUACUAAACUGUUACAGUGUUUUUGUUUAUUUCAUUAUUACUUUUUAUAAAUUAUGAUUGCAGUUGUUCGUGCAGCCAUAGAUGAAUCGAUCUUUGUUUCGAUAAAAUAAAGAAGGAAUAGUGAAAUAGAUUUGUUGUUAAUUUUUUUCGGUUAAUUUAAAUUUGUUUGCGUUUUAUGAUUUUAAAAAACUUUUAGGAAUAUGCCUGUAUGAAUAACUUGGGUGCAAAGGAGUCAUAGCGUCAAUAUUU